CCUACGGUGGGCAGCAGUGAGGAAUAUUGGUCAAUGGACGAGAGUCUGAACCAGCCAAGUAGCGUGAAGGAUGACUGCCCUAUGGGUUGUAAACUUCUUUUAUAAAGGAAUAAAACGAGGCACGUGUGCCUUUUUGCAUGUACUUUAUGAAUAAGGAUCGGCUAACUCCUUGCCAGCAGCCGCGGUAAUACGUAGGAUCCAAGCGUUAUCCGGAUUUAUUGGGUGUAAAGGGAGCGCAGAUGGGGUGUUAAGUCAGUUGUGAAAGCUCGCGGCUCAACCGUAGAACUGCACUUGAUACUGGGUGGCUAGAGUGCAGGAGGGGCAGGCGGAAUUCGUGGUGUAGCGGUGAAAUGCGUAGAUAUCAGGAGGAACACCGGUGGCGAAGGCGGCCUGCUGGACUGCAACUGACGUUGAGGCUCGAAAGCGUGGGGAGCAAACAGGAUUAGAUACCCGAGUAGUC
RNAcentral lists this ribosomal RNA (460 nucleotides) under uncultured bacterium. RNAcentral describes it as "partial 16S ribosomal RNA". It matches the Rfam family "Bacterial small subunit ribosomal RNA", at positions 338 to 795 of the family's 1533-position model. The record is from RNAcentral.